This is a long non-coding RNA of Patiria miniata (bat star), 509 nucleotides long. RefSeq lists it as uncharacterized. NCBI's taxonomy places the organism in Eukaryota, Metazoa, Echinodermata, Asteroidea, Valvatida, Asterinidae. The record is from RefSeq and is a predicted model, not a curated record. The transcript is spliced from 3 exons.
CAAUGAAGGGGCUGACAAACAUGGCGCUCGUCCCUGUCGUUGUGUUGCAUGUCGUUGAAUGAGAGGGUGUCUUAUCAUUCAGAUAACAUCGGUUCAAGCAAACAUAAACCGUAGUGCAGUGAACGUACGGGCUUUGACUGGAUAGUGGGAUCAUCGACCGAUCUAGAUAGUUAGUGCGGCUGGACGAAGGGACAGAAAAAGAUAUAUCAAAGUUUGACUUGGAGACUGAAGAGCGGACAGGAGAUUUUGAAGUGUGUGUCUUCCCCACUGCAUUGGUCAUGAUUGACCAAACCUUGAAAGAUUGUUCUUGAAUUCUGGAAAAAACAGGCCACCCUGGGUUGAUUUCGAGCUCCAAAGACUGCCCUCUGUUGUCCAGAAACAAACAACCAAGCUGCUUUCCAAGAUUUGAGGUUGAGGGUGAUGUUUGGCCGGCCCUGCGCCAGCAACAAUGUGCGACUCAAGCAUGGAUUCUGUCGACCUAACAAGUAAGUGACUUGAAUGCUCCUCAU